Molecule: long non-coding RNA, 893 nt
Filed under: Betta splendens (Siamese fighting fish)
Lineage: Eukaryota; Metazoa; Chordata; Actinopteri; Anabantiformes; Osphronemidae
Description: lncRNA (ENSBSLG00000026345.1)
Source: RNAcentral
AGUUUCACAAAAUACAAAUAUACCAUCAAUUAUACUGUAACAAAGGCUGCCACACUGAAUUCAGGUUGAACUUUUAUUUAUCUUGUUUCUAGGGGGUCGUGGGGCCAAUGGGGUUAAAAGGAGACGAGGGUCAGAGGGGAGCCCCUGGUGAUCCUGCCAAGGGUAUUAUUGGUCCAACUGGAAAAAAAGGUGCCAGGGGAGACAUCGGUCCAGUUGGCCCCACAGGGCCCCAGGGAAUAAAAGGUGAACGAGGAGACAAAGGAGAAAAGGUUAAUAGUGAGAAAUGUUGCACAUCAUUCUUGUAUUAAAUAAAUUGAAUUCCUAUUGACUAAUAUAUGAAUAUGGCUAAUAGACUUUAAUUGCUGUGACUGGUUAUGGUGUGUGUAGGGAAAUCCUGGGUUUGGGAUUCCAGGACAGCAGGGACCAAAGGGAGAAAAUGGUGAGAGGGUGAGUGAAAACCACAUUUACUCAUGUCACAUUUCUUCCCUGUUGCCAUUCUAUAAUAAGGCAUCACUUUAUUGAUUUUAUUGUUCAUAGGGGAAUGUUGGUCUGUCUGGAAAACCAGGACCAAAGGUAAAGUUUGCUAGCUUCUCUUAUAUGUAACAUUAACUGUAUCAGAGUCACAUCUGCAGUUAUGUUUUGUCAAUUUUGAACUUCCAGGGACAGGAUGGCUUUAAAGGUGACAAAGGGGAUAUCGGGCUCCCUGGCAAUUCUGGAGAACCAGGAUUAAGAGGUAAAGAUGUAAGUAAAUCCUGAGUGGUUGUCACAGUAAGAAAUGAACGUUCUUUGUAUAGUUCAGUAAAAUAUCAAUCUAGUCUAUCUUUCUGCCGUCAGGCUAAAGAUUCAACUUCAGUGCAUCAGUGAAAGAACACAUGUCAUCUUUUCCUUUUUAG